GACGAACGCUGGCGGCGUGCUUAACACAUGCAAGUCGAACGGAAAGGCCCUGCUUUUGUGGGGUGCUCGAGUGGCGAACGGGUGAGUAACACGUGAGUAACCUGCCCUUGACUUUGGGAUAACUUCAGGAAACUGGGGCUAAUACCGGAUAGGAGCUCCUGCUGCAUGGUGGGGGUUGGAAAGUUUCGGCGGUUGGGGAUGGACUCGCGGCUUAUCAGCUUGUUGGUGGGGUAGUGGCUUACCAAGGCUUUGACGGGUAGCCGGCCUGAGAGGGUGACCGGCCACAUUGGGACUGAGAUACGGCCCAGACUGCUACGGGAGGCAGCAGUGGGGAAUAUUGCGCAAUGGGCGGAAGCCUGAUGCAGCAACGCCGCGUGCGGGAUGACGGCCUUCGGGUUGUAAACCGCUUUCGCCUGUGACGAAGCGUGAGUGACGGUAAUGGGUAAAGAAGCACCGGCUAACUACGUG
Molecule: ribosomal RNA, 468 nt
Filed under: uncultured bacterium
Lineage: Bacteria
Description: partial 16S ribosomal RNA
Rfam family: Bacterial small subunit ribosomal RNA
Source: RNAcentral